GGAGGGGCUCGCGGCCCAUCAACUAGUUGGUGAGGUAAAGGCUCACCAAGGCGAAGACGGGUAGGGGGUGUGAGAGCACGGCCCCCCACAAUGGGACUGAGACACGGCCCAUACUCCUACGGGAGGCAGCAGCAGGGAAUAUUGCACAAUGGACGGAAGUCUGAUGCAGCGACGCCGCGUGGAUGAAGAAGGCCUUCGGGUUGUAAAAUCCUUUUAGCGGGGAAGAGGGAGGACGGUACCCGCAGAAUAAGCGUCGGCUAACUACGUGCCAGCAGCCGCGGUAAGACGUAGGACGCAAGCGUUAUCCGGAUUUACUGGGCGUAAAGCGUCUGU
RNAcentral lists this ribosomal RNA (333 nucleotides) under uncultured bacterium. RNAcentral describes it as "bacterial SSU rRNA". It matches the Rfam family "Bacterial small subunit ribosomal RNA", at positions 223 to 572 of the family's 1533-position model. The record is from RNAcentral.